ACGCGUGGAACCUUACCAGGUCUUGACAUCCUCUGACAACUCUGGAGACAGAGCGUUCCCCUUCGGGGGACAGAGUGACAGGUGGUGCAUGGUUGUCGUCAGCUCGUGUCGUGAGAUGUUGGGUUAAGUCCCGCAACGAGCGCAACCCUUGUCCUUAGUUGCCAGCAUUCAGUUGGGCACUCUAAGGAGACUGCCGGUGACAAACCGGAGGAAGGUGGGGAUGACGUCAAAUCAUCAUGCCCCUUAUGACCUGGGCUACACACGUGCUACAAUGGAUAGAACAAAGGGCAGCGAAGCCGCGAGGUCAAGCAAAUCCCAUAAAUCUAUUCUCAGUUCGGAUUGUAGGCUGCAACUCGCCUACAUGAAGCCGGAAUCGCUAGUAAUCGCGGAUCAGCAUGCCGCGGUGAAUACGUUCCCGGGCCUUGCACACACUGCCCGU
Molecule: ribosomal RNA, 439 nt
Filed under: uncultured bacterium
Lineage: Bacteria
Description: bacterial SSU rRNA
Rfam family: Bacterial small subunit ribosomal RNA
Source: RNAcentral